CCCUUAGAUGUUCUGGGCCGCACGCGCGCUACACUGACGAAGUCAGCGAGCAUGUCCUACGCCGACAGGUGCGGGGAAUCUUGUCAAACUUCGUCGUGAUGGGGAUUGAUUAUUGAAAUUCUUGAUCAUCAACGAGGAAUUCCUAGUAAGCGCAAGUCAGCAGCUUGCGUUGAUUACGUCCCUGCCCUUUGUACACACCGCCCGUCGCUACUACCGAUUGAAUGCUCAGGUGAGCCAUUCGGACCUUCAUCAUGCCGGUUUCCGGUUUUGAUGAGGGAAAGUCUUGCGAACCUUAUCAUUUAGAGGAAGGAGAAGUCGUAACA
RNAcentral lists this ribosomal RNA (323 nucleotides) under uncultured eukaryote. RNAcentral's name for it is "partial 18S ribosomal RNA". It matches the Rfam family "Eukaryotic small subunit ribosomal RNA", at positions 1470 to 1796 of the family's 1831-position model. The record is from RNAcentral.